This 238-nucleotide unclassified non-coding RNA is filed under the name uncultured Microstromatales. RNAcentral's name for it is "sequence contains ITS2". The record is from RNAcentral. Lineage: Eukaryota; Fungi; Basidiomycota; Exobasidiomycetes.
AUCCCUCAAAUCCCAAUGUUUUUUAAAAAGAAGCGUUGCUUGGAUUUGGUUGUGGGCCCUUGCAGUCUUUCACGAGUCUGCUGGCCUUAAAGAUAUUAGCUGGACCUCUCUAAUCUCUAAGCAGAGUACUUCCAUUUGAUGUAAUAAAAUUGCAUUGGUGGAAGCUCGACUUGGUAUCUAGAGCAAGUCUGCUUCUUAACCCGGCGCGAGUGGCAACACUCAACCCACUAUUUCAUAA